Molecule: long non-coding RNA, 1209 nt
Filed under: Apteryx owenii (little spotted kiwi)
Lineage: Eukaryota; Metazoa; Chordata; Aves; Apterygiformes; Apterygidae
Description: lncRNA (ENSAOWG00000013132.1)
Source: RNAcentral
CCUCCCCCUUGGGCGCUUUUGCUUCCUUUUUUAUUUUUUGCACAGUGAGGCAGGAAUCCGAACACGCCGCAAUCUGGGAGCUGUGGAGGCUGCUGGGCCUCCAGAUCGGAUUCCCAAUUCGCUGUCCCCAGGCGUUUGGGACCGCUCCAAGCGGAGCUCCGCCGCCAGAAGGGCGCAGGAGGAGAGGGAGCAUCGCCCGCCGCGGUGCCACCAGGGCCGGGAGCGCGCAGGACGGCGCGGAGUCGAGGUUCAACGGCCCCGGUUGUUGCCCCGAAGCAGCUGGGAGCCGUCGGAAGAGCCAAGCGGCCCCGCUCCGACGUGGCGGAAUCGCAGACCGCUCACCCAGUCGUGAGGUUAACGCGCCGGAUUCUUUUCCUCAUAAAUGAGCGGAAGGAGCAAACGUUUCUAAGCAAAGGGCUUUCAAGACAGACGCAGCCAGAGCGGGAUUUUUACCGUUACCUUCGCAACCUAUUUCGAAAAGAGGCAGAUGCGGGUUAUAUCCGAGGGGAUUUGGCGGGUUAUAUCCAAGCAGCGCCCAAAAAAGAAAAAGCAAGCGGCGUCGCUGCCUCCCGUUGGUAUAAAUUAAUCUUUCUCUGCAACCGUUGCUGCGCGAUGUGAUUUUCCGUACCGGCUCCCGCUCAGCCGGCCGGUUUCGCAGUUCACAGCGGCAUUUUCCUCCCCGCUCGAGGUCUUUCCAGCCCGGCUGCGCUUUUGUUGGGUGUUUGCCCAGCGCGGAAGCGCUCGGUUAGGAACGGAGGGGACGCAAAUAUCGCCGGCAGCGUGGUUUCCCCACCGACGUCAGCGCCGCAGCCCCCCACCCUGGCUCCGGCCCGUGGCCGGCUGAACGCGAAGCAGAAGGAAUUGUGUCAGGAUAACCAGGCCGGAUCGGCUCCUCCGCCAGGCAGCCGAGCAUAGCUCAAGGAAGCGAUGUCCGUUUGCACCAGCUCAAAAACCCUGGAAUUUGAACCCCAAAACGGCCUCAAACCAAAGGGGAGCAAAAUCCACCGGCUUCCUGGAGAGCCGUACCGAUGGAUCCCGGGCUGAAUGGAUCCCGGGCUGAACUAGGCUCCUUUUUCCCCCCUCAUUUCGCAGCCUGGAAAACUCGGCAAAGCAGCCGUUUACCCGGCGCCCGGGGCCGUUCUUGUGGCGCGGAGCCUCCCGCCGCACGGGCCGAAUAAAGCGGGACCGGGACGGCGUUGCGCGGCGACG